UAAAUGAACUUAAAUUAACUUAAAAAUACUUUUUUAACAAACAAAGUAAUAAAUAAUAUUUUAAAGUUAAUUAAUAGAGGUUCAGCUCUAUUAAUAAAGGAUACAACCUAAAACAAUGAAUAAUGAUUAUACUAAUUAAAGAAAUUAACUAGGUGGGCCUAAAAGCAGCAAUCAAAAUAAAAGCGUUAAAGCUUAAUUUAAUAAAUCUUAUUAUAACAAUAAAAUAAUCUUACUUCCCCAAAACUAUUAAGUCAAUCUAUUUAAAUAGAUGUAAUUAUACUAGAAUGAGUAAUAAGAAAAUAUUCUCUUAGUGCAAGUGUAAAUCAAAACGAAUAUAUCACUGAUAAUUAACGAACCUUUUGAGGGAAAAAUAGUAUUUUACAAGAAAAAUCUAUUCAACCUAUCGUUAACCCAACACAGGAGCACACUAAAAAGAUUAAAAAUAUAGGAAGGAACUCGGCAAACAUGAACUUCGCCUGUUUACCAAAAACAUCGCCUCUUGCAGUUUAGGUAUAAGAGGUCCUGCCUGCCCAGUGACACUAAGUUUAACGGCCGCGGUAUUAUGACCGUGCAAAGGUAGCGUAAUCACUUGUCUUUUAAAUAAAGACCGGUAUGAAUGGCAAGACGAAAGUUCAACUGUCUCCCUAAAUUAAUCGAUGAAAUUGAUCUUUCCGUGCAGAAGCGGAAAUAUAACUAUAAGACGAGAAGACCCUAUGGAGCUUUAAACAUAUAAUCAAUUGUAAAACAUAAAAUCCAAAAGAUUAAAUAUAAAAUAAAACAAUCUGAUUAAAAUUUUAGGUUGGGGCGACCACGGAGAAAAACAAAACCUCCGAGAUGAAGAAAAUAAUCUUAAUUCAAGAACUACAGUUCUAAAAAAUAAAAUAUUUAACAUAAUUGAUCCAAUAUAUUGAUCAACGAACCAAGUUACCCUAGGGAUAACAGCGCAAUCCUCUCCAAGAGUCCCUAUCGACGAGCGGGUUUACGACCUCGAUGUUGGAUCAGGACACCCCAAUGGUGCAGCCGCUAUUAAAGGUUCGUUUGUUCUUCGAUUAAAGU
RNAcentral lists this ribosomal RNA (1056 nucleotides) under Hynobius hirosei. Its description in RNAcentral is "partial 16S ribosomal RNA". It matches the Rfam family "Bacterial large subunit ribosomal RNA", at positions 918 to 2594 of the family's 2925-position model. Lineage: Eukaryota; Metazoa; Chordata; Amphibia; Caudata; Hynobiidae. The record is from RNAcentral.